Molecule: unclassified non-coding RNA, 1110 nt
Filed under: Caenorhabditis elegans
Lineage: Eukaryota; Metazoa; Nematoda; Chromadorea; Rhabditida; Rhabditidae
Description: Non-coding transcript of protein-coding gene sec-62
Source: RNAcentral
AUGUCGAAACGUAAUCAAAAAGGCGUAUCUACGGAAGAUGCCGUAAAAAUGACGAAGGAGCAAGAAGACAUUGCCAAAUACAUCAGAUUCAAUUGUCCGACAGCCACGACCAUGUUUGAAGGAAACGAAGUUCAUUAUUUCAGUGGAAAUAAAGCUGUCGAUACUCUUUGGGAAUCCAAGUACGGAAAUAAAGCAAAGAAAGAUGCAAUGUUUAAAACAAGAUUCUAAAUUUUCAGAGAUGAUUGCUUCCAUUAUAUUUGCGAACUCAACUCGAAACAAUUAUUCUUCCGUGCAAAAAAAUUAGUAGCAAAGAAAAAAGAGAAUAAAGAUAAAGGAAACGAUUCUUCUGCUGAAGUUACCAAAUCUCCAAAAGGUGUAGUUGAAAAGAGAAAUAAAAAAGCCAAAGAAGAAGAAACAGCAACCGAAGCUGAAGGUGAUGAGAAAGAAGUGAAAAAAGACGAAAAGAAAGACGAAGAAAAAAAGAAAAAGAAGGUGAAGCUUCUUGUACAUGAAGUUCAAGCAUUCGUCGAUGACAAAGAUGUCUACGUUUGGGUAUUCGAUCCAACUCCUCUCAUGAAAAAGAUUAUUGGAGUACUUAUGCUCGUCGGUACAAUUGUCGGAUGCUUGUUCCCUCUAUGGCCUGUAUGGCUUCGCCAAGGAGUUUAUUACGUAUCAAUUACUGGAAUUGGAUGUUUUGCAGCUAUCAUUGUCACUGCUAUACUCCGUACUAUUCUUUUCGGAAUUAUCUACGCUGUUACUUUCGGAAAACACAAACUCUGGGUUCUGCCGAACUUGACUGAAGACUGUGGAGUUCUUGAAUCAUUCCAACCAUGGUAUACUUAUGAGUAUGUUGGUGAUGAGAAGAAAGAAGCUAAGAAAGAUAAGAAAGAUAAAAAGUCGAAAAAAGAAAAGGAUUCUGAUGCAGAAGAGGAGGAGCAAGACCACAUUGCUGCUGAACAGGAGCAAAAAGAGGAAGAAGACGAUGAUGCUGAAAAAAAUAGUCAGGCAUCAACUGAUGAUAAUUAUGAAAAAAUUGAAGACGAGGAAAUCUCUGCUCCACCAUCACCAAGUGACGAUGCUCCUCGAAAACGUCGUCCAGCUAAAGUCUAG